This 467-nucleotide ribosomal RNA is filed under the name uncultured bacterium. RNAcentral describes it as "partial 16S ribosomal RNA". It matches the Rfam family "Bacterial small subunit ribosomal RNA", at positions 28 to 507 of the family's 1533-position model. The record is from RNAcentral.
GAUGAACGCUGGCGGCGUGCUUAACACAUGCAAGUCGAACGGUGAAGCAGAGCUUGCUCUGUGGAUCAGUGGCGAACGGGUGAGUAACACGUGAGCAACCUGCCCCUGACUCUGGGAUAAGCGCUGGAAACGGCGUCUAAUACUGGAUAUGAGCUGCGACCGCAUGGUCAGCAGUUGGAAAGAUUUUUCGGUCUGGGAUGGGCUCACGGCCUAUCAGCUUGUUGGUGAGGUAAUGGCUCACCAAGGCGUCGACGGGUAGCCGGCCUGAGAGGGUGACCGGCCACACUGGGACUGAGACACGGCCCAGACUCCUACGGGAGGCAGCAGUGGGGAAUAUUGCACAAUGGGCGAAAGCCUGAUGCAGCAACGCCGCGUGAGGGAUGACGGCCUUCGGGUUGUAAACCUCUUUUAGCAGGGAAGAAGCGAAAGUGGCGGUACCUGCAGAAAAAGCGCCGGCUAACUACGUG